AACCUUAUGGACCUGCGGGCGUAUACCUGCGGAGGGAUCAUUACAGAGUUGCAAAACUCCCUAAACCAUUGUGAACGUUACCUAAACCGUUGCUUCGGCGGGCGGCCCGGGUCCUUCCCGGCGCCCAUCGGCCCUCGCGGGCGCCCGCCGGAGGUAAACCAAACUAUUGCAUUGUAUGGCCUCUCUGAGUCUUCUGUACUGAAUAAGUCAAAACUUUUAACAACGGAUCUCAGAUCGGAA
Molecule: unclassified non-coding RNA, 240 nt
Filed under: soil metagenome
Description: partial contains 5.8S ribosomal RNA, internal transcribed spacer 2, and large subunit ribosomal RNA
Source: RNAcentral